This is a non-coding RNA of Perkinsus olseni, 78 nucleotides long. The record is from the annotation of a GenBank genome assembly. Lineage: Eukaryota; Perkinsozoa; Perkinsida; Perkinsidae.
UCGCCCGAUUAGUUCAGCUGGAUAGAAUGUCUGCCUACGGAGCAGAUGGUCGUAGGUUCGAAUCCUCGGUAUGGUGAA